GUCCACGCCGUAACUUGGCACUAGGUGUUGCGGUAUUGACCCUGCAGUGCCGAAGCUAACGCAUUAAGUGCCCGCCUGGGAGUACGGUCGCAAGACUAAACUCAAGGAAUUGACGGGCCCGCACAAGCGGUGGAGUAUGUGGUUCAAUUCGACGCAACGCGAAGAACCUUACCUGGGUUUGACAUCCCGAGAAUCCUGUAGAAACACAGGCGUGCCUCUUUGAGGAACUCGGUGACAGGUGCUGCAUGGCUGUCGU
RNAcentral lists this ribosomal RNA (256 nucleotides) under uncultured bacterium. Its description in RNAcentral is "partial 16S ribosomal RNA". It matches the Rfam family "Bacterial small subunit ribosomal RNA", at positions 793 to 1055 of the family's 1533-position model. The record is from RNAcentral.